Long non-coding RNA from Passer domesticus (house sparrow), 369 nucleotides. RefSeq lists it as uncharacterized. The transcript has 4 exons. Lineage: Eukaryota; Metazoa; Chordata; Aves; Passeriformes; Passeridae. The record is from RefSeq and is a predicted model, not a curated record.
UUUGCCCUCAGCUGGAGACACUUGGUCCCCUGCUGCCUUGUCGCCUGUGGCCCUGUGGCAGCCAGACACUCACCCCACCUAUCUGAAAAGAGCGGAGAUCCGAGAGAGACAAACUGAUCUCUGAGAGAAAUAAGAGAUGCCUGAAGGGAAGCAAGAAUGGAAAGCAUCCUUAAAAUGACUGAUUUACAAUUGGUCUCAUGAGACUUCUUCAGGCUCUCUUCUUGUUUGCUGCUGUACAUCUGGAGUGAGACUCAUGCAGAGACAAGAUGGCAGGUAAAAUGAGCUGAGCUAUUCCCCAACUGUCUCCACCUGACUACAGAGACAUGCCUUCAUCAUGCAGCUUGGACCAAGGCCCUUCCCCAGCUUGCU